GNAAAGUGGCGCACGGNUGAGUAACGCGUGGGUAAUCUACCCUCGAACUGGGGAUAACCCGCCGAAAGGCGGGCUAAUACCGAAUGACAGUCUUGAAAAUUUAUGUUUUCAGGAUCAAAGGUGGCCUCUACAUGUAAGCUAUUGUUUGGGGAUGAGCCCGCGUACCAUUAGCUUGUUGGUAGGGUAAUGGCCUACCAAGGCUACGAUGGUUAGCUGGUCUGAGAGGAUGAUCAGCCACACUGGAACUGACACACGGUCCAGACUCCUACGGGAGGCAGCAGUGAGGAAUUUUGCGCAAUGGGGGAAACCCUGACGCAGCAACGCCGCGUGAGUGAUGAAGGCUUUCGGGUCGUAAAGCUCUGUCAAGUGGGAAGAACCCAUAUGGUGUUAAUACCGCCAUAUGCUGACGGUACCACUGAAGGAAGCACCGGCUAACUCCGUGCCAGCAGCCGCGGUAAUACGGGGGGUGCGAGCGUUAUUCGGAAUUACUGGGCGUAAAGAGCGCGUAGGCGGUCUUUUAAGUCAGGUGUGAAAGCCCGGGGCUCAACCCCGGAAGUGCACUUGAAACUAAGAGACUUGAGUAUGGGAGAGGGAAGUGGAAUUCCUGGUGUAGCGGUGAAAUGCGUAGAUAUCAGGAGGAACAUCGG
Molecule: ribosomal RNA, 647 nt
Filed under: uncultured bacterium
Lineage: Bacteria
Description: bacterial SSU rRNA
Rfam family: Bacterial small subunit ribosomal RNA
Source: RNAcentral